This 253-nucleotide ribosomal RNA is filed under the name uncultured bacterium. RNAcentral describes it as "partial 16S ribosomal RNA". It matches the Rfam family "Bacterial small subunit ribosomal RNA", at positions 524 to 776 of the family's 1533-position model. The record is from RNAcentral.
UACAGAGGGUGCAAGCGUUAAUCGGAAUUACUGGGCGUAAAGCGUGCGUAGACGGUUGCGUAAGUCAGAUGUGAAAGCCCCGGGCUCAACCUGGGAAUUGCACUUGAGACUGCGUAGCUAGGGUGCGGAAGAGGGAAGCGGAAUUUCCGGUGUAGCGGUGAAAUGCGUAGAUAUCGGAAGGAACACCAGUGGCGAAAGCGGCUUCCUGGUCCAGCACCGACGUUCAGGCACGAAAGCGUGGGGGGCAAACAGG